UAUUGUUAAAUGCAAUUCAGUUCUGGUGGGGAACAGCCAUCAGGCGUAAGGGGGAAAGAGCAGUGCAAAUCUGCCGCUGUCCCGCAGUUGUGAGGAGAGGCGCAACUCUCCGAGUCAAGAAUGUCCGCCGAUUGGUCAACCCGUGA
RNAcentral lists this non-coding RNA (146 nucleotides) under Desertifilum tharense IPPAS B-1220. The record is from RNAcentral. Lineage: Bacteria; Bacillati; Cyanobacteriota; Cyanophyceae; Desertifilales; Desertifilaceae. RNAcentral also lists the same sequence under 1 other name.